GUCCAUCUUCCAAGGAGCAGAUUCCUCGAUCUCAUUGGCUAAAGAGUUUUCACUCAAGGCUGCAGCGUGCACAUCUUUGUGUUCUCCCAUCAGGAAGUAGGCGGGGCUUGGCCAAGACACAUCCCCAUUCUCACAGGGGUUGGUGUCAUCUGCUAUAACAGUCUACAGCUGGUGUUGCCUCAGUUUCUGAAAGUCCUGCCUGUCUACGUUUACAGUCUGCUCAAAAGUGAAGUGCUGCUGCCUGGGCUGCAGAGCUCUGUACAUCAGCAUCUAUGACUGCGUGGCCUCAUUGUCUCCAUGGACACGCUGAGCACUGCUUCCCAGUUCUACCCACUUUUUCUGCCUCUGGUGAGAGACAGACAUCUAGAACAUUCUGUUCAUCCAAAUUAGUCACUGAAAUGAGACUUGUCUGUAAGAAUUUUGUAAUUCUCUGUUGGAUUGUUAUGCACAUGGCAGGAUUUAAAGAUUCCACAUUCUUCACUACUCUAGCAAUAAAUGCAUUUACUGUA
Molecule: long non-coding RNA, 509 nt
Organism: Carassius carassius (crucian carp)
Lineage: Eukaryota; Metazoa; Chordata; Actinopteri; Cypriniformes; Cyprinidae
Exons: 2
Source: RefSeq, a predicted model, not a curated record